This is a long non-coding RNA of Gadus macrocephalus (Pacific cod), 139 nucleotides long. RefSeq lists it as uncharacterized. Lineage: Eukaryota; Metazoa; Chordata; Actinopteri; Gadiformes; Gadidae. The transcript has 3 exons. The record is from RefSeq and is a predicted model, not a curated record.
AAAAAAAGCCUUGUAAAUCACGGUUCGAACAAGAUCUUCCUUGAAGUCGGAUCUUCAGAUAUUCAUGUCGGCCAUGAGCGUGGAAGAGCCAGACCCCAAGGCUUUGAGAAUGGAGGAAGAGAACCAGUGAAAAUAACGG